Molecule: unclassified non-coding RNA, 6644 nt
Filed under: Leishmania donovani
Lineage: Eukaryota; Euglenozoa; Kinetoplastea; Trypanosomatida; Trypanosomatidae
Description: gene:LdHU3.36.1430(CDS-product:hypothetical_prote in_conserved)
Source: RNAcentral
UGGUGCCCGCGCACAUCGGGUAUGGUGCUGGAUCUCUCUCCCCAGCCCUUUCGAACGCGCAGCGCGACAUAAUACCCUCCCGCCUUUCUCGUUUCAGCCCUCUUCUCGCCCUCGCACCGAACGAGGGGAGCCGUUCUUGUUUUCUGUUUCCUUACGGUUGGCCUUGCUUCUCGGGCACGGAUCCUUGUCUUCUACAGCGCACCACCGUUCUUUCCUUUGCAGUCAUCAAGGGCGUCUUGAAUGCGCCCACUGUGCUUUCGCGCUGUCGGCUCUCUCCACCCCUCGCAGCGCGCUGCUUCCCACCAUGAUACGGCGUCGUCCACUCGCUGCGCGUGGCGCUGCCUGAGCACGGCAACAGAAAAUAGUCAAGAGAAUGCGGCGGCAGACUGCACUCCGCCUCCGCUCGAGCAGGCCUUCGCAUCACCACUACCGGGCCCGGUAGCCGCGCACUCGGUUUCGCUCUCCCCGAUCGGCUCUGCCAUUCUGUGCUCGCACCUCUCGCAGCGGCAGAUGCGGCAACGGCAGCGCAGAUGGGGUGCCCUAUGGCGAUAUCGAUGGGAGAGUCACUCGCCCCGCGCCAUGCCGACCCCGCUAUUGGUAACUUCGGCGUUGAUCUCCGGCUCGCCGCGCACCUCCAUAUGCGCGCCGCACGCUGACGUGCCCGAAGACACUGGUGCGAAGACAGCCCCAUGUGACGCAGAGAGAGGAAGCCUUGUGAACACGUCUUCUCCCUCGCACAGCAGAAGUCUUUCCAUGGCAUCGGCGGAGUGCGAAGCAAAGGAGGGUACGAGACCACGCGCCCACACAGGCUCCGCCGGUGCCGCCGCUGCCGCCGCUGCCGAUUCUGUUGCCCUCAGUAGCACGCGCAACGCUGCCGCUGGCGCGUCGACUGUAGAGGACCCUCUCCUCUCGUUUCUAGACUCGCACGAGGAAGAUGCGGCGUUGCUGCUCGCGAUGUGGACGUCGCUGCAUCGCAGCUGCGUUUUUGGCUCAACUCUGUCGGAGUCCUUGGUUCUUCAGGUGCGCUACUUUCUCCACUCCCUUCUUCGCCACCGCGCGAUAGGGGCGGCCGUAACUUUCUACUACCGGCUCAUGGGCAUCGGCGUGCAGCUGCGUCAAAGCGACCUCCUCCUGCUGUUUUCGAGCCUGACUUACGAGAACGCUGCGUCGACGGAAGAGGCCCAGCUGCGCAAGGCGGCAGAGACAGCAGCGAUGGAAAGUCACCGAAAGAUUUGGGCUCAACGACGCAGGCAGCUCCGCCUGUCCGCCGCGCGCACUCGCACAGCGGACGCCCCGGGCCAAAGCCAGCGCGAGGGAGGUGGGGAGGGAAGAGACAAGGUAUUGGCAGUUCAGACGGGCGUCCUGAGCGCGGGGGUGAAGAAGACUGGUGCGCCUGCGUUCUGUGAGGAGGGGCCGACGCGUGUGAAUGCUACCGCCACGGAGAGCGUCCAGGAAACGGCUUCACAUACACGCAUAGUUAGAGCUACCCACAUCGCGGAGGGCGGCAGCGUCGCCGUUUCCUCAGCGCCACGCUGGGCCCGCGGAGAAGUGGGCGACGAAGUGCACCCGCCGGGCUCCAUCGCACGCCGCACGGCUUUCCACCAGCAGCCGGAGUGGGUCAAGAGGUGGAUCCUCUACGAAGCCUCGAUGGGGACACUGGACGAUCUAGACGAAGUGGAGGACGCCAGCCGACCAAGCACACCGUCGACGAGCAGCUCCACGGACGCCUUGCUCAGCACCAGCGAUGCGCAAGCGGACACCGCGGCGCAGCCGGAGCAGGUGAUGCGGGGCAUGGAGGUGGCAGCGAUUGUGGAGCAUCUGCACCUUCUCACUCUCGGAGCCAUGCAGCGAGACCAUCUGAGCGCAACCGAAGCAAACAUACCGCCGCCGUCGCCGCGGCGACCGCAGCGAUGCACCUCGAAGCUGUCACGGUCGUGGUCGAUUGAGCGGGCCUACUGGAAAGAGGCGCUAGAUCUGGUUCGAAGCGCCUACUCCGCUGCACCACGGCACAGGGCUCUGAGCGAGUGCGGCGACACCUUGUUUCCUAGGGCGGCAGAAGACCUGCUUCUUCCCACCGAGGUCGUUCUCGCUCUGCAGUCAAUGCUUCGUGAAGUGCAGAGUUGGGAGGGCACACUUUCUCUUCUGCGGCUGAGCGUCCCGGAGGCGAAGCGUCGAGAUGCGGAGCCGCCCAGAGCGGUUGGUAUGUCAUCCGACUGCUUCCUGCGCGGGGCGGUCCUUUUCAUGGCUUUGGCCGCCCCUGCGCAGCCAUGGAAGACACAGGCGAAGGUUGAAGCAUGGAUGCAUCGCGUAAUGCUGCCUCGACUCGCGCGCGACGCGAGGGCGCAAACGGAAGCUACCUCUACUGCUACUGCCGCAACAGCAGCUCUUCAUGCGCUGUGGCUCAGCCACCUCUGCAGCGUAAAGGCGUCACGGCCGGACGAGUUUGUUGCACUCGGUGAAGAGGCGGCGGCUUACCUUACUUCUCCCUCCGUGCAACGGGCAAUUCACGGCGACCUCACGCUGAUGAUGGAGGAGAUAUGCGUGAGCACCGAACGAGCCGUUGACGCCCUGCAUCAAACGGCGCAGCGGGCCGUACAGCACCGUCGCGCCUCAGAGGUGCUCGCCAAAUCCAUUCGCACCGGUGCCUACAGGGUGGAGAACGGCAAAGGCAAGCACGAACUCGGCAGAGACCCUGAGAACGAUCACAUGACCGAUCCGUUGUCAAUGACUUCGGUGGCCGCGCCGCCAACUGUCAUGGAUGGAAUGAGGUGCUCCCUCUUGAGUGAUUAUGCCACGAAGUCACCGUUGUCUCCGUCGGCGUUGCUGUCAAGCGACUCGGUGGACGCGUUUGCCCUGUGCUGCGCAGCCGUCAAGGAGACGGUCUGGCUGCGGUUCACGACGGCGGCCUCGACAAGCCCUGCUGCUGUGGCGGUCGAGGUGCUGCAGUUUUUGGAGCAGAAUGUGCACGGUCCUUCAGGACUCCUCAACGUGUUCCAGCUGCUGUACGGCUCAUCUGCCUCGCGGAUGGCGCGCAACGGAAAAGGGUCGACACUAACGCCGACGGAAAACACACCAGCGGCACCGGAGUGUGCGUACGUGUCGUGCGUUCUGGCGAUUACUCUCUUGCAACUCGUGCAGCUUCUAUGCUCACCACCGGGCCAGCAGCAGCGCCGCUACGGCUGCCACAUGUGGAGCGGCGCCGAGCUGGUUCUUCUCGCCGAACACGCGGCGAAGGUGCUGGAGAGGAUUGCCGCGGCGCAAGUGCAGCAGGCGCCAUGGCGGUGGGCAGUCGAGGAGCGUCUGAAGGAGCUCGCCACUGUGACGGCGAGAACGGUGCGCCUUGUCGUGCGCCAGCUUGACAUUCAUCACAUGAAUGAGAAGGUCAUGUUUGGUGCCGUGGCUGACCAGGAUGUGGAACUCUUCGCCCUUCUUGCCCGGGUGCUCAACACGUCAUCAGAGUUGAUGGUGGCGUCGUGCGCUAGUGAUGCUUCGCGGGUCUCGUCAUAUUCGCCGGUGUGGCGGAUUUUGACGUCCACGUGCUCUCCCCGGAUCCUGCAAGGGGUACAUCUGUGCUUCCGCAGCUCUAGCGCGCUGGGAAAGCGAGUGCGAUAUCGACUUUGCCGCCGUGAUGCCGACAACCUGGAGCACUGGAUUCAGCCGCCGCGAUCGCGUCAGCGCACCUCCGCCUGCCUGCGUGGUGCUGGCGGUGCGGCGCUAUUGUCGUCGAAGCGGUCGGUGAAGGCGAUAGACGCGGGCGGUGCUGCCGCGGUGGGGCGCUACACAGGCAGGGACUUCCCUCUCAUGCUCAGCCUCCGCGACUCGGUCUACAAGAUCAUGAGCCGUGAGCGCACGAGCGCCGGUGUCGGGCGAGCGCUGCAGCGGCUGGCAGCUGCGACGGCGAACUGGAAAGCGAGCUUGCUUCUGUGCGAACUCGUUACAAAGGAUGUCUCUCUCGCCCGUGGCACGUGUACUGUGGACUUCUUUGCCACAGCUCUGGAUCGCAUGGCGCAGGAUGUGGCGAGGUCGAGCGCCGCCGCACAAGCAGAGGCGAGAACGCCGCGAUCGCAGGGAAAUGAUGUUGUGCCGUCUCGCAAGAGGUGCGGUACGCUGGCCGCCCCACGGGCGUCGGGGCCACCCAACUUGUGGCUGAGUGCGAUCGAUGUGUUCUGGAGCGCCGUCGAUCACGUUGGCCAGGCCGAAGCCGCUGCGGCGCAGGACUCUGACUCCUCAGCUCUCGCAAACUCCGCCAGAACGCCGGCGUCGAACCCGGUGAGCGUGGAGGCGCAGGAGCGUGCUGUACUGGCGCGGCUUCUGCUUCCGCUUCUCCGCUUUAGCCGCGCCGUGAAUCAGAGGGAGGUUGGCCGACAGUGGCGUCGCACAUGGGCCGCCAUGUACGCCACGCAGGAGAAGAAGAACCCGCAGUGGCGCCAGCAGAACAUCGAAGCACUAUCCGUGCUAGGUGACGCAGCGGCGCUGACCCACUGCGUUGCGGACUACCACAUCUGUGGCAGCGAGGCGUUGCUGUGCUCGGUGGCCGUUCGGCACGGUGACUGGCACGCCGCGCUGGUGACUGUCUUCCAGACAUACGGCGCUGUCGAGGAGCGUCACGCGACGGGGACGCCGUACUCACUCGUCGUAGCCCGCACUAUUCUGACGCUCCUGGCGAAGUCACCGAUGAAUCUCAGCAACACGGCUAUGCGAUUGCGAACUGUUCAGCGCGAGACCUGGGACGAGGAAUGCAGUCUCGCGGUGGUCCGGCUACUAUUACGUGGUCGCCGAUGGCGCCUGGCGAUAGCCCACGUUGACGAGGCGCUGGGGCUUCCAGACAUGCAGCGGGUCAGAGCGCUGGUGCUUGUGGACCCUGCCGGUUGUUUGCGGCAGGGGGCAUCCCCUUCCGCGCCCACCGCGGCAACGCUGGUGCGGUAUGCCCAGCUACUUACGGCAGUGUUGCGGGCGACGGCGAUCGGCGGCGAUAGUGAGCGCGCGCCAGCGUACUACGACGCGUUCAAGGCGCUGGUGCGUUACGUCUUUGGUGAGGUGGUGGACAUAGACACUCUUCAUACGGCGGAGGACACCUGGCAGAGGGGCGACGAUGCGCUGGACGCCGCGCUGGACAUGACUCAUUUCACGGAAAGGGAAGAAAAGCACGCGUCGGGUUCGGAGGACCAAGUGCACGAGGCAGUGCGAGAGCUGGCCCCACGCGCGCGCAUCCUGUUCUUCCGCGCUAUGACAAAGAAGAUGCUUGCUUCUCAUGCGGGCAAGGGGUGACAAGAGGCACCGCCCUUAGUGCUGGAGAGGGAGGAGGACAUCGACCCGACCGGCGUCGGCAACGUGCACCCUGCGAAACCUGCGCGUAUGGAUUGUUCGACUCAGGCCUCUUACAUGGUGCCCUUCAUGUUGACGCACCAUCCGCGAUGGACCUUGAUAACGAGGAGAAAAGGGGGACACCUCAGCUUGCGUGGCAUGUCAGGGCCCAGUAGCCCUACACUCUGUGAGGGGAACCCAGGCAGAGCCUCUCUCCCCCUCCUCCCUUAUCCCCUGCCAAAUGCCGAGCCACCUAUGGUGGUGACGGGGUCAAACAACCUACGACAUAGAGGACCUCAGAGCAAUGUGUUACUGCGCAUGCCGGCAUUCACAUCCUGGUCGUCGUUUCGUCGGAGCGACCCGCGGCCGUGAUCAUGUCUGUGCCAUCCAUUGGAUUCGGCGAAGGUUUAAGGCGACUUGGACGUUCCUUGCCCCCCGGCCCUCAGGGCCUACUGGUGUGGCACCGGAGCCCCUCCGGGGAGUCGCGGGAUGCACCACGUGGCGACCGACAUGAUGUGAGAGUGGCUGUGAGGGUGGGCGGGGGGGGGAGGGCGACCUGCGGCGAGCGGAUGUGGUGGGUAGACCGCGUGGCAGAGGCCGUUCUGAGACGACCCUGUCGGCCGUAUGGCUGCAACGCGGGUCGAGGGCCGCUUUUUGCGUCACGCGGUGUAUGUGGGUGUGUGGGGAGGGGGGGGCGAUGCUGCGGGGAGGGGUACAGCGGAGCUGGACUCGCGCUCUACGGCAGAGAAGGGGUAUACAGAAGGGAAAUGAGAAAGCUUCCUGGGUGGGUGAGUACGGUAGGUGAGCCCACGAAGCGCGUACGUGAUACCUUGCGUGUGUGUUUGUCGUGUACGUGCGUGGGCGUAAACGUGUAUAAUGGUGCCCAUCACAAAACCGACGGCUAAGAGAAAAGAGAGAAGGCGGCAAACAAGCAAACUUACACAGCCUCAAGUGCGCUCGGCUGGCAUGGCAAGCGUCAUCAGAAAAUAGACACGGCAUCCUUGUGCGCGUGGCACCGCCGUUCCAGAGGAGGGAAAACAGUCGCCGGGACGACACACACACACACACACACACACCUCCCACACCCACACAGAAAAGCGCAUGGGAAAGCACUUGCACACCCAGGCACCCGCCACUUCUCUUGGACGGGAGGCCUUGCCCUCCAGGACUUUCCGCGUACGCGGACGGAAAAAGGGAGGCAUGCGGUGUUGCGCGUUGGCCUGCUGCAUCUUCCUCUGUGAGAUGAGGUGCAUGUGGCGAAGAAGAGUAUCAGCUUUGUUGGUGUAAUGGCGCUCUCCUCUUCUCCUGCUUUUUCAUGUUGUGCUUGACGGCAACGUUAG